Molecule: long non-coding RNA, 257 nt
Filed under: Malus domestica (apple)
Lineage: Eukaryota; Viridiplantae; Streptophyta; Magnoliopsida; Rosales; Rosaceae
Description: long non-coding RNA (MDOM_LNC014355)
Source: RNAcentral
AUCGAAUGCGUGGGAACCAGAGGUUGGUACUUGCAGGCUGGAUCGAAGAGAUGACCGAGAGAGAGUAGUCUGCUGCGCAAGCCAGAUCGAGCUGGUUCUUAAGAAAUUCGCGGUACUGGUCUGAGUUAAUCGGAGCCGUAGGAGCUGGAUCCAACGCCGCCGGCGGAGGAUGAUUGAGCUGCUGAGGAGGUUGCAGUUGACGAUGGCGAUGACGAUCGGGCUUCUUGAUCUCAACUACCUCUUCGUCCACAUCGUCG